GUAAUGUCUGGGAAACUGCCUGAUGGAGGGGGAUAACUACUGGAAACGGUGGCUAAUACCGCAUAACGUCGCAAGACCAAAGAGGGGGACCUUCGGGCCUCUUGCCAUCAGAUGUGCCCAGAUGGGAUUAGCUUGUUGGUGAGGUAACGGCUCACCAAGGCGACGAUCCCUAGCUGGUCUGAGAGGAUGACCAGCCACACUGGAACUGAGACACGGUCCAGACUCCUACGGGAGGCAGCAGUGGGGAAUAUUGCACAAUGGGCGCAAGCCUGAUGCAGCCAUGCCGCGUGUAUGAAGAAGGCCUUCGGGUUGUAAAGUACUUUCAGCGGGGAGGAAGGGAGUAAGGUUAAUAACCUUAUUCAUUGACGUUACCCGCAGAAGAAGCACCGGCUAACUCCGUGCCAGCAGCCGCGGUAAUACGGAGGGUGCAAGCGUUAAUCGGAAUUACUGGGCGUAAAGCGCACGCAGGCGGUCUGUCAAGUCGGAUGUGAAAUCCCCGGGCUCAACCUGGGAACUGCAUUCGAAACUGGCAGGCUUGAGUCUUGUAGAGGGGGGUAGAAUUCCAGGUGUAGCGGUGAAAUGCGUAGAGAUCUGGAGGAAUACCGGUGGCGAAGGCGGCCCCCUGGACAAAGACUGACGCUCAGGUGCGAAAGCGUGGGGAGCAAACAGGAUUAGAUACCCUGGUAGUCCACGCCGUAAACGAUGUCUACUUGGAGGUUGUGCCCUUGAGGCGUGGCUUCCGGAGCUAACGCGUUAAGUAGACCGCCUGGGGAGUACGGCCGCAAGGUUAAAACUCAAAUGAAUUGACGGGGGCCCGCACAAGCGGUGGAGCAUGUGGUUUAAUUCGAUGCAACGCGAAGAACCUUACCUGGUCUUGACAUCCACAGAACUUUCCAGAGAUGGAUUGGUGCCUUCGGGAACUGUGAGACAGGUGCUGCAUGGCUGUCGUCAGCUCGUGUUGUGAAAUGUUGGGUUAAGUCCCGCAACGAGCGCAAC
Molecule: ribosomal RNA, 996 nt
Filed under: Salmonella enterica subsp. enterica serovar Thompson
Lineage: Bacteria; Pseudomonadati; Pseudomonadota; Gammaproteobacteria; Enterobacterales; Enterobacteriaceae
Also listed under: 1 other name
Description: partial 16S ribosomal RNA
Rfam family: Bacterial small subunit ribosomal RNA
Source: RNAcentral